UGCCCCGAUCUGAGCAUCUUCCUCCGCCACUCCCGCACCUGUCCCUAGCUUCUUUCUUCGCCUCUUCCCCGCCCGCCCCGAGCUUAUUCCUCCGCCACUCCCCCGCGCGCGCCCAGAUUUUCUUCGCUCGUCUGCUUCGUCAUGCCCAUCAAUGGCGGCGGAAGUUAAUGUUCUGGACAAUCUCCCACUAUGCAAACCUAGCAUGCAAUCUAGGUUUUCAACACUCAGAUACAUGAAAGUAGUGGACAAGUUCAAUCCAAUUUCAAAGGGUUUUUUAUAUCCAAGCAUGGUCUUGAUAAUCUACUGAGGCUUCCUGUCCACUUGAUGGUCCCUCUGCAUCUUCAGCAGUGGCUUGUUGACCAUGCAUCAUAUGGUGAAACAAAAUUCUUCCAACAAAAAGACAAGGUUAUCCAUUUCAACAAGGAUAUUGCCGACAAGUUUGUUGGGUUUCCAGUGGGCGCCAAGCCAUUUAUUACAUAGAGCAAUGAUCCUGAUAUCAUGAGAGAGGUAGAAGAUAUUCGCGGUCAGUACCUCCAAGGGAAGAAGCAGAUAACGAAUAAGAAUCUUGAGUCUGUUUUGCUUGGCGCUAACAAUGAGGUGGUUUUCAUUAGGAGUUUCUUGUUGCUUUUCAUCACCACUGUUCUGUGUCCAUCGACCUACAAUUUUGUCAAUGCAAAAUAUUUGUAUUCUUUGAGGGACAGCGACAUUGAGGAAGUUGGAACACUUGACUUUGCAACUUUGUGCCUAAACAACCUGUGGAGUGAGUUGGAUGCAUGGAAAGACAAGGUGUAGAGAAUACUGGGUUAUGAACAUUUCUCCUUCCUUUGUAUUCGCAAUUCCGUAGAAAUUGGAAACUAAAGAUUGGAGUACAUGGUCUGGUUAUGUUUGGUGUCCUGCCAUGUAUACUUUUUUGUGCUUAAAAGCAUGGCUUAUAUAUGUUUUCCCAGGUUCUUUUUGGCCUGAAAUCCUAUCUGUUUUACCAUGUACAUAAGUCGUGAAGAAAUUCAAUAGCCACGAGUUCAGGCCAAGGCAAAUUCGGUAUUUGGGUAUUAUAUCACGUGACAGUAGUAUAAAUAUUGCCUGGAUGUGAAUCGAACCAAACUCGCAUCACGGUUCUUUUUUGUAGCUGCGAUUUUUGUCUUUUUAUGUUCUAACAUCUGUUUUAAGAAAAAAUAUUUCUUAAACUAGAUAUUAUUAUGCAUUAGUAAAUACUUAGAUGAAGAAAAAAUCUAUAUACCAGGGACAAAAAAAGCUGAGGCACCAAAAACUUAAAAAUUAGGAAUUCUACAAUUCGAAUCUUUUAUCGUAUUGGGAUUUUUUUGGGGGUUCUUGAUUAAACCAAUUUUGAGAAUAGUUGGAUGCCGACAAAAUCAUCAAAGAUUGGAAUUCUUUUUUUCAAUUCAACAAGGUGUCAAUAACUUCUAGAUGUUGGCUAAGUGAUUUAAUCUUCGCCUUAAGAUAGUUAUGGUCAUGCUUUCUUGAAACCCGUUCAUGCAAAGAAUAAUUUUGUGUUUUAUUUUGUAUGUUUCAAGUUUAGAAAAUAACUUAAUGUUUUUAUUUAUGUUCAAGGUAGAAAAUGGUUCAUACCAAAAAUCCAUUUCAUUCUUUAUUUUUAUUGUUCAAGGUAGGAAACCGUUCAUUCCAAGAAUUCGUUCAUGCUUUACUUUUAAUUUCCAACAAUCCGUUCAUGCAUGAAUUUAUGUUCAAUGUAGGAACUCGUCCAUGCUUUAUUGUAUGUUCAAGGUAGAAAAUCAUUCAUGCAAAAGAAUCCGACCAUGCUUGAAUUUAUGUUCAAUGUAGGAAAGCGUUCAUGCAAGAAAUAUGGGAACAAGGGUUUUUCGAUAUAUGUCUAAUGAAGAAAACCAUUAAUGCCAAGAAUUCGUUCAUACUUUUUAUUUAUGUUUCUGCGUACAAAACAGUUCACGCCGAAGAAAUACUCAUCUUUUUUAUUUAUGUUCAAGGAAGGAAACGGUUCACUCUAAGAUUCCGUUUUAUGUUAUCAUUUCUGUUAAAGGUAGGAAACCGUUCAUGCCAAGAAUCCAUUAAUGUUUUAUUUUUUAUAGUUCAAGGUACGAAACCGUUCAUGAUUA
Molecule: long non-coding RNA, 2090 nt
Organism: Lolium rigidum
Lineage: Eukaryota; Viridiplantae; Streptophyta; Magnoliopsida; Poales; Poaceae
Exons: 4
Source: RefSeq, a predicted model, not a curated record